UACGGAGGGGGCAAGCGUUGUUCGGAAUUAUUGGGCGUAAAGCGUAUGUAGGCGGCUAAGAAAGUCAGGCGUGCAAGCCCGUGGCUCAACCACGGAAUUGCGUUUGAAACUGCUUAGCUUGAGUGCAGGAGAGGAAAGCGGAAUUCCCAGUGUAGCGGUGAAAUGCAUUGAUAUUGGGAAGAACAUCUGUGGCGAAGGCGGCUUCCUGGACUAACACUGACGCUGAGGUGCGAAAGCGUGGGGAGCAAACAGG
Molecule: ribosomal RNA, 253 nt
Filed under: uncultured bacterium
Lineage: Bacteria
Description: partial 16S ribosomal RNA
Rfam family: Bacterial small subunit ribosomal RNA
Source: RNAcentral